This 568-nucleotide ribosomal RNA is filed under the name uncultured bacterium. Its description in RNAcentral is "bacterial SSU rRNA". It matches the Rfam family "Bacterial small subunit ribosomal RNA", at positions 338 to 916 of the family's 1533-position model. The record is from RNAcentral.
CCUACGGGAGGCAGCAGUGGGGAAUAUUGCGCAAUGGGCGAAAGCCUGACGCAGCAACGCCGCGUGGGGGAUGAAGGCCUUCGGGUUGUAAACCCCUUUCAGCAGGGAAGAAGCGAAAGUGACGGUACCUGCAGAAGAAGCACCGGCUAACUACGUGCCAGCAGCCGCGGUAAUACGUAGGGUGCAAGCGUUGUCCGGAUUUAUUGGGCGUAAAGAGCUCGUAGGCGGUUAGUCACGUCGGAUGUGAAAUCCCGGAGCUUAACUCCGGGCCUGCAUUCGAUACGGGCUGACUCGAGUGUUGUAGGGGAGACUGGAACUCCUGGUGUAGCGGUGAAAUGCGCAGAUAUCAGGAAGAACACCGGUGGCGAAGGCGGGUCUCUGGGCAACUACUGACGCUGAGGAGCGAAAGCGUGGGGAGCAAACAGGAUUAGAUACCCUGGUAGUCCACGCCGUAAACGGUGGGCGCUAGGUGUGGGGAACAUUCCACGUUCUCUGCGCCGCAGCUAACGCAUUAAGCGCCCCGCCUGGGGAGUACGGCCGCAAGGCUAAAACUCAAAGGAAUUGACGG